AGCUCCAAUAGCGUAUAUUAAAGUUGUUGCAGUUAAAAAGCUCGUAGUUGAACUUCUGUGUAUAUCCUGUCGUGGCUUCGGUCAGUCAGUGAUGUGCACAUCCGCUUGCAAACCAGGACCGGCCUUUACUGGUCGACCUGGGGAGUAGGCCUUUUACUUUGAAAAAAUUAGAGUGUUUCAAGCAGGCAAUGGCUCGAAUACAUUAGCAUGGAAUAAUGGAAUAGGACUUUUGUCUAUUUGGUUGGUUAUUAGACAUGAGUAAUGAUUAACAGGGACAGUUGGGGGCAUUAGUAUUUAAUUGUCAGAGGUGAAAUUCUUGGAUUUAUUAAAGACUAACUUAUGCGAAAGCAUUUGCCAAGGAUGUUUUCAUUA
This 372-nucleotide ribosomal RNA is filed under the name Mesanophrys sp. RNAcentral describes it as "partial small subunit ribosomal RNA". It matches the Rfam family "Eukaryotic small subunit ribosomal RNA", at positions 587 to 975 of the family's 1831-position model. The record is from RNAcentral. Lineage: Eukaryota; Ciliophora; Oligohymenophorea; Philasterida; Orchitophryidae.